Long non-coding RNA from Alligator sinensis (Chinese alligator), 338 nucleotides. RefSeq lists it as uncharacterized. The transcript has 4 exons. Lineage: Eukaryota; Metazoa; Chordata; Crocodylia; Alligatoridae. The record is from RefSeq and is a predicted model, not a curated record.
UUCAAGAAGCUCUGAUUCAGCAGCUUCAGCCCUAUCUACCGUGAUUACUACUUAGUGAUGGACCUAUCCUCCAUGAAUUGUCCCAUCCACUUCUGAAUAGCUCUGGGCAACUGUUCCCUCUCUACACCUGUGAUUAACUGAAUGUCCAAAAAACCUACAGUACUGGUGCUGAUCUCAUGAGACUGAAGCCAUACACUAGACUCCAAAAAUUCCUGGGACGAAAUAAAGAGAGAAGAAAAGACUGAACUGCUCUGCAUUCCUCUGCUGAUCUCUGCAUGGGGAAAGAAAAAAGAAAGUUAUCUCCAUGAAAUGAAAAGACAAAAUAAAAUGAAAAAAAG